GACGAACGCUGGCGGCGUGCCUAAUACAUGCAAGUAGAACGCACAGUUUAUACCGUAGCUUGCUACACCAUAGACUGUGAGUUGCGAACGGGUGAGUAACGCGUAGGUAACCUGCCUGGUAGCGGGGGGUAACUAUUGGAAACGAUAGCUAAUACCGCAUAAUAUUGAUUAUUGCAUGAUAAUUGAUUGAAAGAUGCUAUUGCAUCACUACCAGGUGGACCUGCGUUGUAUUAGCUAGUAGGUGAGGUAACGGCUCACCUAGGCGACGAUACAUAGCCGACCUGAGAAGGCGAUCGGCCACAAUGGGACUGAGACACGGCCCAGACUCCUACGGGAGGCAGCAGUAGGGAAGCUUCGGCAAUGGACGAAAGUCUGACCGAGCAACGCCGCAUGGGUGAAGAAGGUUUUCGGAUCGUAAAGCUCUGUUGUAAGAGAAGAACGGGUGUGAGAGUGGAAAGUUCACACUGUGACGGUAUCUUACCAGAAAGGGACGGCUAACUACGUG
This 505-nucleotide ribosomal RNA is filed under the name uncultured bacterium. RNAcentral's name for it is "partial 16S ribosomal RNA". It matches the Rfam family "Bacterial small subunit ribosomal RNA", at positions 28 to 507 of the family's 1533-position model. The record is from RNAcentral.